This 250-nucleotide ribosomal RNA is filed under the name uncultured prokaryote. RNAcentral describes it as "partial 16S rRNA". It matches the Rfam family "Bacterial small subunit ribosomal RNA", at positions 525 to 775 of the family's 1533-position model. The record is from RNAcentral.
ACGUAGGUGGCGAGCGUUGUCCGGAAUUAUUGGGCGUAAAGAGCGCGCAGGCGGUUAUACAAGUCUCAUUUAAAAGCGCUGAGCUCAACUCAGUGUUGGUUGAAAAACUGAAUUAUUUGAGUGCAGGAGGGGUGGAUGGAAGUCCUAGUGUAGCGGUGAAAUGCGUAGAUAUUAGGAGGAACACCAGUGGCGAAGGCGGCUCACUGGACUGUAACUGACACUGAGGCGCGAAAGCUAGGGGAGCAAACGG